RNAcentral lists this ribosomal RNA (240 nucleotides) under uncultured Staphylococcus sp. RNAcentral's name for it is "partial 16S ribosomal RNA". It matches the Rfam family "Bacterial small subunit ribosomal RNA", at positions 100 to 334 of the family's 1533-position model. Lineage: Bacteria; Bacillati; Bacillota; Bacilli; Caryophanales; Staphylococcaceae. The record is from RNAcentral.
GGACGGGUGAGUAACACGUGGAUAACCUACCUAUAAGACUGGGAUAACUUCGGGAAACCGGAGCUAAUACCGGAUAAUAUAUUGAACCGCAUGGUUCAAUAGUGAAAGACGGUUUUGCUGUCACUUAUAGAUGGAUCCGCGCCGCAUUAGCUAGUUGGUAAGGUAACAGCUUACCAAGGCAACGAUGCGUAGCCGACCUGAGAGGGUGAUCGGCCACACUGGAACUGAGACACGGUCCAG